Molecule: ribosomal RNA, 490 nt
Filed under: uncultured bacterium
Lineage: Bacteria
Description: partial 16S ribosomal RNA
Rfam family: Bacterial small subunit ribosomal RNA
Source: RNAcentral
AGUGAACGCUGGCGGCAGGCCUAACACAUGCAAGUCGAACGGCAGCACAGGGGAGCUUGCUCUCUGGAUGGCGAGUGGCGGACGGGUGAGGAAUACAUCUGAAUCUUCCCAGUUGGUGGGGAUCACGUAGGGGAACUUAUACUAAAACCGCAUACACACUUCGGGUGAAAGAGGGGGAUCGCAAAACCUCUCGCGAUUGACUGAGUCGGAGUCGCAUUAGCUAGUUGUUGGGGUAAUGGCCCACCAAGGCGACGAUCCGUAGCUGGUCUGAGAGGAUGAUCAGCCACACUGGAACUGAGACACGGUCCAGACUCCUACGGGAGGCAGCAGUGGGGAAUAUUGGACAAUGGGCGAAAGCCUGAUCCAGCAAUGCCGCGUGAGUGAAGAAGGCUUUCGGAUUGUAAAGCUCUUUUGUUAGGGAAGAAAGGUUGUAUGGUAAUACCCUGUGUGGAUGACGGUACCUAAAGAAUAAGCACCGGCUAACUUCGUG